Molecule: non-coding RNA, 103 nt
Organism: Cinara cedri
Lineage: Eukaryota; Metazoa; Arthropoda; Insecta; Hemiptera; Aphididae
Source: the annotation of a GenBank genome assembly
GGUGCGCGCGCGCAUGUGUGUGUGUGUGUGUGUACACGAGAAAGCGUAUUCGCCGAAACGCGUUCGAUAAACACACACACACACACGCGCGCGCGCGCGCGCG